AGUCUUCAAGUAAAGGCCAGAUGACUACUUACAGACUAUGAUGUAAACAUAUUUUUUAUUAUUCUUAUCAGAUAUAGAUUGGACUGGAUGGCAUCAAAGAUAUCUUCCAACUCUGAAGUCUUAUGAUUCUGAUUCUAAACAGCUGGAGCAAAGUUGAAGAGGCAGGAUUAGAGAGAAAAAUGCCAAAACGUCUCUUCAAGAUAUUUUUGCUGUCACCUAUUACAAAUAUCCAUUGUCACUGGUUUAUCACUAUCAUAUUAAGGGGCUACAAUCAACUUUACUUGUUCUCAGAUCCAGAUGGCUGCCAGGAGAGUUUCAAGCAAAUGAACUAUGCAUCAGAUUCUCAUUGGUGAGCAUUUUAUAGGUUUUGCAUGGGGUGGAGUGGCCUGUCCCCAGUCUCCAAAGUGUUUUCAUCUCCUGCUGAUAAACAUUGUUUUCCCCUCUCCUUCACCUUGGCUGCCAUCAACUGAAUCUUCAUCAGCAAUUUGUUGAUCAUUUUUUUCAGAACUUAAUGAGCAUGGUCCAUGACCUAUCCUUCAUCAGCAAGUUCAUUUAGAAUGGGGAAUUCACUAAUCCAUUCAAUUAGCUGCCUGUAAAAGGGGA
RNAcentral lists this long non-coding RNA (603 nucleotides) under Monodelphis domestica (gray short-tailed opossum). Its description in RNAcentral is "lncRNA (ENSMODG00000041248.1)". The record is from RNAcentral. Lineage: Eukaryota; Metazoa; Chordata; Mammalia; Didelphimorphia; Didelphidae.